ACCGGCAGCUCAAGUGGUGGCCAUUUUUAUUGGGCCUAAAGCGUUCGUAGCCGGUUUGAUAAGUCUCUGGUGAAAUGCCGCAGCUUAACUGUAGGAUUUGCUGGAAAUACUAUUAGGCUUGAGGUCGGGAGAGGUUAGGGGUACUCCCAGGGUAGGGGUGAAAUCCGAUAAUCCUGGGAAGACCACCUGUGGCGAAGGCGCCUAACUGGAAAGAACCUGACGGUGAGUAGUGAAAGCCAGGGGCGCGAACGG
RNAcentral lists this ribosomal RNA (252 nucleotides) under uncultured prokaryote. Its description in RNAcentral is "partial 16S rRNA". It matches the Rfam family "Archaeal small subunit ribosomal RNA", at positions 475 to 726 of the family's 1478-position model. The record is from RNAcentral.